GAAUUCGCCCUUAGAGUUUGAUUCCUGGCUCAGGAUGAACGCUGGCGGCACGCCUAACACAUGCAAGUCGAGCGGGGAUAAGGAUGCUUGCAUCAUUAUCCUAGUGGCGGACGGGUGAGUAACACGUGAGCAACCUGCCUCUCAGAGGGGGAUAACGUUUGGAAACGAACGCUAAUACCGCAUGAAAUAUUGGCAUCGCAUGGUGCUGAUAUCAAAGGAGCAAUCCGCUGAGAGAUGGGCUCGCGUCCGAUUAGAUAGUUGGCGGGGCAACGGCCCACCAAGUCAACGAUCGGUAGCCGGACUGAGAGGUUGAACGGCCACAUUGGGACUGAGACACGGCCCAGACUCCUACGGGAGGCAGCAGUGGGGGAUAUUGCACAAUGGGGGAAACCCUGAUGCAGCGAUGCCGCGUGAGUGAAGACGGCCUUCGGGUUGUAAAGCUCUGUCGCAGGGGACGAAAAUGACGGUACCCUGCAAGAAAGCUUCGGCUAACUCCGUGCCAGCAGCCGCGGUAAUACGGAGGAUGCGAGCGUUAUCCGGAUUUAUUGGGUUUAAAGGGUGCGUAGGUGGUUAAUUAAGUCAGCGGUGAAAGUUUGUGGCUCAACCAUAAAAUUGCCGUUGAAACUGGUUGACUUGAGUAUAUUUGAGGUAGGCGGAAUGCGUGGUGUAGCGGUGAAAUGCAUAGAUAUCACGCAGAACUCCGAUUGCGAAGGCAGCUUACUAAACUAUAACUGACACUGAAGCACGAAAGCGUGGGGAUCAAACAGGAUUAGAUACCCUGGUAGUCCACGCAGUAAACGAUGAUUACUAAGCUGUUUGCCAUACACAGUAAGCGGCACAGCGAAAGCGUUAAGUAAUCCCCCGGGGGAGUACGCCGGCAACGGUGAAACUCAAGGGAAAUUGACGGGGGCCCGCCCAAGCGGAGGAACAUGUGGUUUAAUUCGAUGAUACGCGAGGAACCUUACCCCGGGGUUUGAACGCAUAUUGACAGCUCUGGAAACAGAGUCUCUAGUAAUAGCAAUUUGCGAGGUGCUGCAUGGUUGUCGUCAGCUCGUGCCGUGAGGUGUCGGCUUAAGUGCCAUAACGAGCGCAACCCUUAUCACUAGUUACUAACAGGUCAUGCUGAGGACUCUAGUGAGACUGCCAGCGUAAGCUGUGAGGAAGGUGGGGAUGACGUCAAAUCAGCACGGCCCUUACAUCCGGGGCGACACACGUGUUACAAUGGUGGGGACAAAGGGCAGCUACCGUGUGAGCGGAUGCUAAUCUCCAAACCUCAUCUCAGUUCGGAUCGAAGUCUGCAACCCGACUUCGUGAAGCUGGAUUCGCUAGUAAUCGCGCAUCAGCCAUGGCGCGGUGAAUACGUUCCCGGGCCUUGCACACACCGCCCGUCA
This 1391-nucleotide ribosomal RNA is filed under the name uncultured bacterium. RNAcentral's name for it is "partial 16S ribosomal RNA". It matches the Rfam family "Bacterial small subunit ribosomal RNA". The record is from RNAcentral.